This 773-nucleotide ribosomal RNA is filed under the name uncultured Neocallimastigales. RNAcentral describes it as "partial large subunit ribosomal RNA". It matches the Rfam family "Eukaryotic large subunit ribosomal RNA", at positions 24 to 634 of the family's 3401-position model. The record is from RNAcentral. Lineage: Eukaryota; Fungi; Neocallimastigomycota; Neocallimastigomycetes; Neocallimastigales.
UAUGUGAUCGUCUCUCGCAUAUCAAUAAGCGGAGGAAAAGAAACUAACAAGGAUUCCCCUAGUAACGGCGAGUGAAGCGGGAAGAGCUCAAAUUUGAAAUCUUAAAGGGUUUCCCUUUACGAAUUGUAGUUUAAAGAAGUGUUUUCUGUUGAGGUUUUGGUAAAAGUUCUUUGGAAUAGGACAUCAUAGAGGGUGAGAAUCCCGUAUUUGACCUUUACUUUCAACUUUGUGAUACACUUUCAAAGAGUCGGAUUGUUUGGGAAUGCAGUCCAAGAUGGGUGGUAAAUUUCAUCUAAAGCUAAAUAUUGGCGAGAGACCGAUAGCGAACAAGUACCGUGAGGGAAAGAUGAAAAGAACUUUGAAAAGAGAGUUAAACAGUACGUGAAAUUGUCAAAAGGGAAGCGUUUGACACCAGUGUUGUUUUUCUGAAAAUCAAUUAAAGAACUGUUUAUGCUAAGUUGUUUAGACUUUAUCAGCUAACUGUUUAGUUUUGAGCUUUUCUUUAAUGCACUUUUCAGUUAACAAGUCAACAUCAAUUUCUUUUGCUGUAAAAAAGCUUGAGGAAGGUGGCUUGAGAUUCGUCUUAAGUGUUUAUAGCCUCUUGCCUAUGCAGUCGGAGAGAUUGAGGUCUGCAGCGUAGAUCCUUCGGGGCUAAAUGCAUUUGUGCUAAGUUAUAGCAUUUUAUAGACAACUUGUUGACUAUGAUUUGUCUUGUAGCUUACUCGCUUAUGUUAUUUUACCUACGCUUAGGAUGUUGAGUCGUAGAGCACGAG